This 72-nucleotide transfer RNA is filed under the name Loxodonta africana (African savanna elephant). It matches the Rfam family "tRNA". Rfam says of the family: Transfer RNA (tRNA) molecules are approximately 80 nucleotides in length. The record is from Rfam by way of RNAcentral. Lineage: Eukaryota; Metazoa; Chordata; Mammalia; Proboscidea; Elephantidae.
GCCCUGGUUGCACAAUGGUUAAGCACUUGGCAGCUAACCAAAAGGUUGGUGGUUUGAACCCACCCUGUGGCU